ACCAAGAUGGCCGAGUGGUUAAGGCGAUGGUUUGUAUGUAUUUUGUCGCGCGCCCACUUCAGAAUUGUUUACUGACCCACGCACAGUAAGUUUCGCAGCUUGAUCACCAUUAUCGAGAGAUUCCUGGGUUCGAACCCCAGUCUUGGUA
This 148-nucleotide transfer RNA is filed under the name Moelleriella libera RCEF 2490. Its description in RNAcentral is "Aschersonia aleyrodis RCEF 2490 tRNA". It matches the Rfam family "tRNA". Rfam says of the family: Transfer RNA (tRNA) molecules are approximately 80 nucleotides in length. Lineage: Eukaryota; Fungi; Ascomycota; Sordariomycetes; Hypocreales; Clavicipitaceae. The record is from Rfam by way of RNAcentral.